GACGAACGCUGGCGGCGUGCUUAACACAUGCAAGUCGAACGGCAAGGCCCUGCUUGCAGGGUACUCGAGUGGCGAACGGGUGAGUAACACGUGGGUGAUCUGCCCUGCACUUCGGGAUAAGCCUGGGAAACUGGGUCUAAUCCCGGAUAGGAGCCAUUUUUAGUGUGAUGGUUGGAAAGUUUUUUCGGUGUUGGAUGAGCUCGCGGACUAUCAGCUUGUUGGUGGGGUAAUGGCCUACCAAGGCGGCGACGGGUAGCCGGCCUGAGAGGGUGGACGGCGACAUUGGGACUGAGAUGCGGCCCAGACUCCUACGGGAGGAAGAAGUGGGGAAUAUUGCACAAUGGGCGCAAGCUUGAUGCAGCGGCGCCGCGUGGGGGAUGACGGCCUUCGGGUUGUAGACUACUUUCGCUAGGGACGAAGCUUUUUGUGACGGUACCUAGAUAAGAAGCACCGGCUAACUACGUG
This 465-nucleotide ribosomal RNA is filed under the name uncultured bacterium. RNAcentral describes it as "partial 16S ribosomal RNA". It matches the Rfam family "Bacterial small subunit ribosomal RNA", at positions 28 to 507 of the family's 1533-position model. The record is from RNAcentral.